Molecule: long non-coding RNA, 681 nt
Organism: Ipomoea triloba (trilobed morning glory)
Lineage: Eukaryota; Viridiplantae; Streptophyta; Magnoliopsida; Solanales; Convolvulaceae
Exons: 2
Source: RefSeq, a predicted model, not a curated record
UUGGAUCGGCAGCCAGGCCAGAACUGGUAAGAGAAGUUCAACUACCACCUAGCUAAAACUUAAACCCAUAUUAUAUUCAUCCUUCCUGGUGCAGCUAGCUAGCUAUUUCAUAUUUGCUGCUAUGUAUUCCAGAAAUGUCAUGGCAGGGAAGAAUUGAAGAAGACGACGACGACUGUGAAUAUAAUUAUGUUGAGAGUGACAGUAGAGAGAUAUUGAUGCGAUUCAAUCUGAACAUUUAUGGUUAAUCUAUCAGCCAUAUAUAUGGUUUUGAUUGAGCCGCGUCAAUAUCUCUCUUUCAACCAUCUGUCCUUACUCCAUCCAUCUCAAUGCCGGAGGAUAACGACGACGACGCCAAUAACAGCGACUCCGAUGAUGAUGGUAGCUAGCUACAGCUCAGCUAGUAUAGGAACAAUUUGCAGCUAGGGUUUCUGUGUGUUGUUUGUGUAAGAAACUGAUAGCACAAACACCGCCAAACUACAUGUAUAUAUAUGGGAGCAACUGUUUUUACGCUGAGGAAUAUUUUGAGGAAUUGUCCCCAGUUCUGUCUCGGAUUUUAGUCAUUUAAUUUGCAGGUAGAGUUCAUAUGUUUCUGCCACCUUCUUGUAAGAUAAUGGAACUCCAAACUCCCUACCUUACCUUCUAUGAAUAGAGAAAUAUAUAUUAAAAAAAUUUACAGAUUCA